This 255-nucleotide ribosomal RNA is filed under the name uncultured bacterium. RNAcentral describes it as "partial 16S ribosomal RNA". It matches the Rfam family "Bacterial small subunit ribosomal RNA", at positions 524 to 777 of the family's 1533-position model. The record is from RNAcentral.
UACGUAGGUGGCGAGCGUUUGUCCGGAUUUACUGGGCGUAAAGAGCGCGCAGGCGGUCGUUCAAGUCGCGUGUGAAAGCCCCCGGCUCAACUGGGGAGGGUCACGCGAUACUGAUCGACUCGAAGGCAGGAGAGGGAAGUGGAAUUCCCGGUGUAGUGGUGAAAUGCGUAGAUAUCGGGAGGAACACCAGUGGCGAAGGCGACUUCCUGGCCUGUUCUUGACGCUGAGGCGCGAAAGCUAGGGGAGCAAACGGGG